Molecule: ribosomal RNA, 492 nt
Filed under: uncultured bacterium
Lineage: Bacteria
Description: partial 16S ribosomal RNA
Rfam family: Bacterial small subunit ribosomal RNA
Source: RNAcentral
ACGAACGCUGGCGGCGUGCUUAACACAUGCAAGUCGAACGGUGAAGCGCCUUCCUUUUUGGUGGGUGUGGAUGAGUGGCGAACGGGUGAGUAACACGUGAGUAACCUGCCCCCUUCUUCUGGAUAACCGCAUGAAAGUGUGGCUAAUACGGGAUAUUCUGGGUCUGUCGCAUGAUGGGUCUGGGAAAGAUAUUGUUUCGGUGGGGGAUGGGCUCGCGGCCUAUCAGCUUGUUGGUGGGGUGAUGGCCUACCAAGGCGGUGACGGGUAGCCGGCCUGAGAGGGUGGACGGUCACGCUGGGACUGGGACACGGCCCAGACUCCUACGGGAGGCAGCAGUGGGGAAUAUUGCACAAUGGGCGCAAGCCUGAUGCAGCGACGCCGCGUGAGGGAUGGAGGCCUUCGGGUUGUGAACCUCUUUCGCCAGUGAAGCAGGCCUGCCUCGUUUGUGGGUGGGUUGACGGUAGCUGGAUAAGAAGCGCCGGCUAACUACGU